RNAcentral lists this ribosomal RNA (253 nucleotides) under uncultured bacterium. Its description in RNAcentral is "partial 16S ribosomal RNA". It matches the Rfam family "Bacterial small subunit ribosomal RNA", at positions 524 to 776 of the family's 1533-position model. The record is from RNAcentral.
UACGAAGGGGGCUAGCGUUGCUCGGAAUCACUGGGCGUAAAGCGCACGUAGGCGGAUUGCUAAGUCAGGGGUGAAAUCCUGGAGCUCAACUCCAGAACUGCCUUUGAUACUGGCGACCUUGAGUCCGGGAGAGGUGAGUGGAAUUCCUGGUGUAGCGGUGAAAUGCGCAGAUAUCAGGAAGAACACCUAUGGCGAAGGCAGCACUCUGGGACGGUACUGACGCUGAGACGCGAAAGCGUGGGGAGCGAACAGG